This 718-nucleotide ribosomal RNA is filed under the name Enterobacter hormaechei. RNAcentral describes it as "bacterial SSU rRNA". It matches the Rfam family "Bacterial small subunit ribosomal RNA", at positions 51 to 758 of the family's 1533-position model. Lineage: Bacteria; Pseudomonadati; Pseudomonadota; Gammaproteobacteria; Enterobacterales; Enterobacteriaceae. The record is from RNAcentral.
ACACAUGCAAGUCGAACGGUAACAGGAAGCAGCUUGCUGCUUCGCUGACGAGUGGCGGACGGGUGAGUAAUGUCUGGGAAACUGCCUGAUGGAGGGGGAUAACUACUGGAAACGGUAGCUAAUACCGCAUAACGUCGCAAGACCAAAGAGGGGGACCUUCGGGCCUCUUGCCAUCGGAUGUGCCCAGAUGGGAUUAGCUAGUAGGUGGGGUAACGGCUCACCUAGGCGACGAUCCCUAGCUGGUCUGAGAGGAUGACCAGCCACACUGGAACUGAGACACGGUCCAGACUCCUACGGGAGGCAGCAGUGGGGAAUAUUGCACAAUGGGCGCAAGCCUGAUGCAGCCAUGCCGCGUGUAUGAAGAAGGCCUUCGGGUUGUAAAGUACUUUCAGCGGGGAGGAAGGCGAUAAGGUUAAUAACCUUGUCGAUUGACGUUACCCGCAGAAGAAGCACCGGCUAACUCCGUGCCAGCAGCCGCGGUAAUACGGAGGGUGCAAGCGUUAAUCGGAAUUACUGGGCGUAAAGCGCACGCAGGCGGUCUGUCAAGUCGGAUGUGAAAUCCCCGGGCUCAACCUGGGAACUGCAUUCGAAACUGGCAGGCUAGAGUCUUGUAGAGGGGGGUAGAAUUCCAGGUGUAGCGGUGAAAUGCGUAGAGAUCUGGAGGAAUACCGGUGGCGAAGGCGGCCCCCUGGACAAAGACUGACGCUCAGGUGCGAAA